Sapajus apella (tufted capuchin) is the source of this 1030-nucleotide long non-coding RNA. RefSeq lists it as uncharacterized. The record is from RefSeq and is a predicted model, not a curated record. The transcript is spliced from 2 exons. Lineage: Eukaryota; Metazoa; Chordata; Mammalia; Primates; Cebidae.
ACCUGAGAUUUGUACAUAUAUCAGUCAGGCAAAGAGCUGUGGACUUGGAUUAUGAGUGGCCAGAGAACUGGCAGCAUCUGCAAAAGCCAGACUAUGAGAGAGAUGAGAACACAGUCAAGUAACUGAUAGAAGUUCAGUCUGGCUGGCGCAUGUAGGAAUUACAAACAUUUAUUAUGAAAGUAAUACAUGUAUAUUGUAUAAAAUGUGAGGAAAACAGGAAAUGAAAAAGUAUAUAUUCUUGCCAAUUUCAUUCUGCAGAGUUAACUACUGUGAAUUUUUGUUGCAUUUUUAUAAUUCUUUCCAUUUAUAGUCAUAGAACAGCAUGUUUGGUAUUAUCCCAGUCUGGCUUAGACAGAUAUUUUACAGGUAUAAAAUGCAUGUACAUACAUGAAAAUAUAGUAAAAUUGGAAUCAUGCUAACAUGCUGUUACCUGCUUUUUUCAUAUUACAAUAUACUUAAAUAUUUUUUAUGUGCUUGGAUGAAAUUGUAUUUUGAGUAAGUGAAAUAUUUUAAGUUGCACUAUUUCAUUUCUGUGAAUAAAACUUGUUUUUGAAGUUAACCAUCUUGAUUCAUGUUUGCAGGAGGAAUGUUUCUUGAACCUAGAGGCUCCUAUAUCAAGAGUAUGUGGUUAUGACACACCAUUUCCUCACAUUUUUGAACCAUUCUACAUCCCAGACAAAUGGAAGUGUUAUGAUGCCCUUCGAAAAAUGAUCAACUAUUGACCAUAUAGAAAAGCUGGAAGAUUAUGACUAGAUAUGGAAAUAUUUUUUCUGAAUUUUUAAAAUAUUUCCUCAGACUUAUCUCUUUUUGAAAAGAAAGUUUUUAUGAAAUUAACCAUCAUGAGAUUGGCUGAAAAGUUCUACAUUCUAUUAUUGUAUUGUAUUGUAACACACAUGCAUUGAUGAUUUUUAUUAUGAGUUUCAGAUUAACUUUGAAAAAUGUUCCACAUGAUAAUCUUAUAAAUUCUGUUUAAUUAUAUCUGUAAAUAUUGUGUGUAAGAUAGUAUUCAAUGAAGUAAAAGCAGAUUGUC